UGCUCUGAAGCACUUAACUCUUCUGCAUUAACCAGCAGUUUCUGUAUCUCCUUCAAAGGUGCAGACUGUUAUCUCUGCUGUUACCUGGGCACCAGAUGGAAAGGAAUCAUGGAGCUUAGUAUUCACUGAAGGGUGCAGUGUGUUACAUUUGUGGAAGCCAGCAUGAGGAAUUAUUUUUCUCCCUGUACACAUUUUCCUACCUCAGAUAAUUCGGAGAGGUCAGAACAGGGUGAAUGACAGAUGCUCAAGACCAGCAGCAUUGAACCCUAUAGGUGAUCUCCAUUUGAUCCACUGAAGUGCAGUGGCUAAAUUUAUGACUUUCUUUGCCAUUCCUGUCUCCAAUUGCUACAUCAGUUUUCCAGCUGAGGAACACAGAGCAUUCCCCAUGACCAAAUAUGCACCACCACUCCUGCUGUGCUGCUGUCCAACAAACAACCACUCAGGCUACUCAGUGAACAGCUCCAGUGCAUGGCUCCACGUGCCUCAGUUAGAAAUAAUCUCUGAAUGAUUCAUGAACUGGCAAGAAUCUCAACUCUGUGGCUUUUCAGUCCUCCCAGUUAAUUAAUCUGUCUACAACCUGGAGUGAUUCAUCUAUCCAGUAGAAACACAUACGACAAUACUUAAAAAAUCAGUGCACCAUUUAUAAUCCUCAUUUCCUUCCAACAACUCUUAAAAUUACUAAGAAACACGUGACAUCUUUAAGUUUGGAAAGCAGCUUCAGGAAUAGGAAUUCAGAAGACAAAAUGAAGAGAGGACAGCAUCUUGUAACAGUAUUGUACCUGCUUCUACAAAAGUUGGGAUUGAAUGUUUUCAGAAAAA
This is a long non-coding RNA of Cyanistes caeruleus (blue tit), 819 nucleotides long. RefSeq lists it as uncharacterized. The record is from RefSeq and is a predicted model, not a curated record. Lineage: Eukaryota; Metazoa; Chordata; Aves; Passeriformes; Paridae.